UUCCGGUUGAUCCCGCCGGAGGCUACCGCUAUUGGAGUUCGAUUAAGCCAUGCGAGUCGAGAGUCUUAGGGACUCGGCGCACCGCUCAGUAACACGUGGGUAACCUGCCCUAUGCUGGGGAAUAACCUCGGGAAACUGAGAAUAAUGCCCCAUAGCCCACUACGCCUGGAACGGUGAGUGGGUCAAAGCUCCGGCGGCAUAGGAUGGGCCUGCGCCGUAUCAGGUUGUAGGGGGUGUAAAGUACCCUCUAGCCAUCAACGCGUACGGGUGUUGGGAGACAUUGCCCGGAGAUGGAUUCUGAGACACGAAUCCAGACCCUACGGGGUGCAGCAGGCGCGAAAACUUGGCAAUGCGAGCAAUCGUGACCAGGGAACUCCAAGUACGUAGGGUAAGACCUACGCUUUUCUUGACUCUUCAAAGGUCUUGGAAUAAGGGGUGGGUAAGGACGGUGCCAGCCGCCGCGGUAAUACCGGCGCCUCAAGUGGUAGUCGCUUUUAUUGGGCCUAAAACGUCCGUAGCCGGUCUGGUGCAUUCGUGGGUAAAUCAACCCGCUCAACGGGUUGAAUUCUGCGAGCACGGCCAGACUUGGGACCGGGAGAGGUGUGGGGUACUCUCAGGGUAGGGGUAAAAUCCUGUCAUCCUGAGAGGACCACCUGUUGCGAAGGCGCCACACUAGAACGGAUCCGACGGUCAGGGACGAAACCUAGGGGCACGAACCGGAUUAGAUACCCGGGUAGUCCUAGGUGUAAACGCUGUGGACUUGAUGUUGGGGGCGCUCCGAGCGCUUUCAGUGUCGAAGCGAAGGUGAUAAGUCCACUGCCUGGGGAGUACGGUCGCAAGGCUGAAACUUAAAGGAAUUGGCGGGGGAGCACUGCAACCUGAGGAUUGUGCGGUUUAAUUGGAUUCAACGCCGGG
This 915-nucleotide ribosomal RNA is filed under the name uncultured archaeon. RNAcentral describes it as "bacterial SSU rRNA". It matches the Rfam family "Archaeal small subunit ribosomal RNA", at positions 1 to 922 of the family's 1478-position model. The record is from RNAcentral.